GACGAACGCUGGCGGCGUGCCUAAUACAUGCAAGUAGAACGCUGAAGAGAGGAGCUUGCUCUUCUUGGAUGAGUUGCGAACGGGUGAGUAACGCGUAGGUAACCUGCCUUGUAGCGGGGGAUAACUAUUGGAAACGAUAGCUAAUACCGCAUAACAAUGGCUGCCACAUGUCAUUUAUUUGAAAGGGGCAAUUGUUCCACUACAAGAUGGACCUGCGUUGUAUUAGCUAGUAGGUGAGGUAAUGGCUCACCUAGGCGACGAUACAUAGCCGACCUGAGAGGGUGAUCGGCCACACUGGGACUGAGACACGGCCCAGACGCCUACGGGAGGCAGCAGGAGGGAAUCUUCGGCAAUGGGGGCAACCCUGACCGAGCAACGCCGCGGGAGUGAAGAAGGGUUUCGGAUCGUAAAGCUCGGUUGUAAGUCAAGAACGGGUGUGAGAGUGGAAAGUUCACACUGUGACGGUAGCUUACCAGAAAGGGACGGCUAACUACGUG
RNAcentral lists this ribosomal RNA (497 nucleotides) under uncultured bacterium. RNAcentral describes it as "partial 16S ribosomal RNA". It matches the Rfam family "Bacterial small subunit ribosomal RNA", at positions 28 to 507 of the family's 1533-position model. The record is from RNAcentral.